Neolamprologus brichardi is the source of this 5011-nucleotide non-coding RNA. The record is from RefSeq and is a predicted model, not a curated record. NCBI's taxonomy places the organism in Eukaryota, Metazoa, Chordata, Actinopteri, Cichliformes, Cichlidae.
CAUGCUGUGGACACGCUGGCUCGUGCUGCUGCUCUGCUGGGGGGCCACAGGCAGCGAGCAGCAGGCGGAUGAGAGGGGUGCGGUACCGGCUGAGGUCCGGUCGGACUCCCGCAGAGAGCGCUCACCUCCGCCGGUGGAGCCGCUGGAUUUUGGGUUUGUACCCGCGGCGGUUUACGACACCCACGCUUAUUACGAGCCAGGGAGCAUGGGGAUCCUCUUCCAUAUGGUCCACGCGUUUCUCUACAUCCUUCAGCCGAACCCCUUUCCCAAAGAUCUCAUUGUCAAAGUCAUUCAGCAAAACAUGGGUGGAAUCAAAAUAGAGGAAUGGAGAAAGCCAGAAAACGUCGUCUUGUUGCUGCAGUGGAUCCAGUACGAGUCCGGAUUUCUCAUAUGUGCAACCUUCGGCGUCGUGUUUGUGGUCCUUAUCCCCGUCAUAGCUAUGUGCUUCUGCAUGUGUCGAUGCUGUGAUAACUGUGGAGGGGAGAUGCAUCAGAGACAGAGGAAAAAUGCAGACUGUCACAGAGGUUUCUAUACCGCCUCGCUGGUUGCUACAACCAUCUUCAUCAUUGUGGGUGUUCUCAUUGCUCUCGCCGCAAACCACAACAUCAGCUCACAGGUCAAAAGCACUCGGCGGCUCAUUAACACCAACAUGAGAGACCUGAAGACGUUCGCUAACAACACGCCUGCACAAGUCGAUUACCUGACAGCCCAGUACACCACAGCCAAGAACAAAGUCCUGUCAGACCUCGACAACAUUGGCCCUUUGCUGGGGGGUAGGAUCCACAUUCAGCUGGAGAAAUCAGUGAUUCCUUCGCUGGACACCGCCCUGCGUAUGGCAGGAGCAAAAAUUGAGAGUGCCAUCAAAGCCAUGCGGGAGACCAAAGAGGCCCUGGAGAACGUCAGCUCGUCCUUGGAGGUGCUGCAGGACGGGGUGGGGAAGCUUCAGGCCAGCCUGUCAGGAGAGCGUGCCUCUCUGUCCAACACCCUGUCCGACCCCGCCUGCACGAACGGAGCUGUGUCACAUACCUGUAGCACCAUUCGCUCCACACUGUCCCAGCUGGGAAUCAAUGCUGACUUCUCCAAGAUCCCAGAUGUUAAUCAUGCCUUGGCCAAUGUCAAUACUGUCCUGAAAACAGAUUUCAGCAACAUUGUACAAAAGGGUUACGCAUCCUUUAACGACACACCAAGACUGGUUAAAGAGCAAACAAAAAACAUUGUUGCAGCUCUGCCUCGAGUAAAGGGGAUGCUGGAUAAGAUUGGUGCAGAGAUCACCGGCUUCUCCAAGAUGUUCCCCGUGGAAGCUUCUCUGGCAAAUUUCACCAUUUUCCUAAAUGAAAGACACAAAGCUAUUGAGUCCUAUUACCCCCAAAUCGAUCAGAUGGAUUUUUACAGGUGGAUCGCCUGCGUGGCGGUGCUCUGCAUGGUCGUCUUGGUUAUGGCUUUUAACAUCCUCGGCCUGCUGUGUGGUAACUGUGGCUACGACAAGCAAGCUAGCCCGACCACCCGCGGCUGCCUGUCGAACACUGGGGGAAACCUGCUGAUGGCUGGUGUUGGCUUCUCGUUUAUCUUUGCCUGGGUGCUGAUGGUCAUCGUUACCACCCUGUUUGUUGUCGGGGGCAACGUGGAAAAGCUGAUAUGUGAACCUCUGGCUAACAGACAGCUGUUUAAGAUCAUUGAUACGCCGUUCCUGGUCCAUCCUGAAAAGAGGAACUUCCUUCCUGGGAUGCUUUUCCAGAAUCCAAAUAUUGAUUUAACUCUAGGCGGCAUGUACAGGGAGUGCUAUGACAACAACGGUCUGUAUCACGCUCUACAGUUGGAGACCAUGUUCAACAUUAACUCCUUCCUCAACAGAACAGUGUACAACAGGGACCUGGCCAAAGUGUUUGAUAGUGUGCAGGUGGACCUGCAGGGCAUCACGCUGCUGGAGCAGGCUGGCAGAGACAACCUCAUCAACUUUGCCAACUCUGGAAUUGGACAGAUUGACUUUCAGGUUUAUCUCACUGAGGUAAAUAAAGGAGUCACUCUAAUAGAUCUGCUGUCCUUCUGUAGCGACCUGGAGGGUCAGGCUGACCAGCUGCCACGUGGUGCUCUGGAGAACGCACUGAGAGGCCAUGCCAGCAGCAUUAGAUUCAUUCACCGAGAACAGGUGGUGCCACUGGAGCAAGCAAUGAAAUAUGUCAGAGCACGGAGUACGCUGCAACAGAGUAUCAAACAGCUGCAGAAGACAUCCAACGACCUGCCAGUCAAAGUCACAAAUGUCCUGAGCGCCAUUGAUGCAGCAGAGUAUCUCCUCACUCAUAAUGCCUCCCACGUGGUGAAGCAGGAAACAAAGGCGUAUGUGCAGAGCUUGGUGGGAUACUUCAAACAGUACACAGAAUGGGUUAAAAACUCUCUAACUGCAGAGGUGGCCCAGUGUAAACCCAUCAGCAACAUUGUGGACAGUAUGGAAAUAGUAGGAUGCAGCUUCAUAAUCGACUCACUGAACACAUUCUGGUUUGGUCUCGGCAGCUGCUGCGUCCUGCUCAUCCCCAGCAUCAUCUUCUCUGUCAAACUGGCCAAGUAUUACAGAAGGAUGGACACAGAGGACGUCUUUGAAGACUCUCCCUAUUGUGACACUCUGACUCGGUUCCCUCGGGCCUCUGCCCCCCCGAGCUACUCAGUCUGGUGACCCACUGGAACUCUCUCCCUGCUGAUGAGGUAUUGACGAUCACUGAUGACUCCACUAACCCUUACAGCUACGCUAACAACCAGCCAUUGGACAGGAGAACUGGAACUGAUCUUCCCUUUGUGGAUCACCGGGCUGUUUAGGCUUCCGAUUCAGAUCUUUUAACACUUCCAAGGACAAAAGGGAAGAACAAUCAUGAACUCUGGGAUGAAGGCGUCUUUCAGUAGUCCUUCAGGCCAUUUGACAAAACCACUAAUGCCAGCAAAAUCCUAUGAAGUGUUUUUUCGACCCCUUUACCAUUUUAUUAUGUACACCAACAGCUGCAUAUUUAGCUGCAUAGAGAAUCAAUUUGUACUUACAUGAUCAGUUUUAAACAAGGCAACACAAGUGUACAGUUUUUACACUUUCAAGUCUUUUGAAAGUUUUAUAUAUUUUUUUGUUAAACUUUGUUUUAUAACAUGUAAGUAGGUUUUGUAGUAAUAGCUUUCUUUUUCUCUGUGAAUAUUUGUAAUAUAGCUGACAUAAUUUGCAUCAAACAGGUUGCACUUAGCAGGUGUUUAUUUAAGGAAUCGUUUCACAAUUUGAAAAAAAAAGUAGCUACUCGCUUUCUUUCAGAGGGUUAGAUGAGAGGUUUAUGUGAAAUUCAAGCAGCUGGAAAGCAAAAAGACGAAGAGAAAAACAAGCUAACACUUGUGCUACGUGCACUCUCAAUAGUGCCCAAAUUGGCAAAAGUAAAAAAGGGAGGAACCACCGUAACAGUUCAGCCAAUAGGGGGAAAAUGCCAUUGCUAGGUAACAGAGUUAUCAUCAGAGUAUGGUCACCGAUGACCAUGAUGUCACUCACACAGUAUAAAACAUGGAUGUAGCUUCCAGGUAUGAAAAGUGAAGUCAACAAAGAAGCUGCAUUGUUUUUAUAAACCACCAGGGGGCCACACCUGUGGCUAAAAACACUGUAGAAGUCUCUGCUGAGUUCAUGGGCUCUGUCACUUAUUUUGGGUUAAUACUGACUAACAAGUUAAGUUCAUUUUGUAAAUCUUGGUCAUGUUAUGUUUCAGAAAGAAGGAUUAUCCAGGAUCUGCUCACUGGCUUGCGAUUGGUAAGUUGGUAGCCAGUGAGCGUGCAGUUUCAGUCAGACCCGCCCAUGUGUCAUCAUAUCUCGUUUUAAAAUACGAAUAUGGAGACAGAGGCUUCAGGAAGGGAAUUCAGAAAGCAGCAGGUGUCUGUGACCCCCCCCCCCCCCCCCCCAAAAAAAAAAAAAAAAUACGGCAAAACAUCGUAUUGAGUGUAAAAGAAUUUGUCGAUAUACUUCGUGCGAUCAGAGGAUCCACAGUUUUUAAAUAUUUGUAAAACUCGGCAGCUAGAAAGACGAUGGUGGUCAAACGGUGGAUCGUCUUUUCCAGUAAGUGCAAAACUUGCUUUGCUCAGUCUAAGCACAUCACAUUGUGAAAAUUCAGGAGCUUUGCAGCCAAGCAUGUAGUGUACAUGUCAUCCUUCAUAGAAGUGGAUUAGCUGAAAUAAUACACAAACCGAACAGCUGAACAGAUCAGAUUUAUGAAUAAAUGUUGAAACAAGGACAAGUAAUCCAGCUUUGAUUUAGGCUGCAGAAAACUUCAUCAAGUAGCCACCCAUAUAUAUCACCAGGAAACAAAAGCACACACCUCCUGUUGCUUCAGGUGAAACUGACACAGAUCACAUCUCUCAUGGGAAUCUACCAAACAGCUGUGCAGCUGUGUUUUUGACCAAAGAGUUGAAUCAGCUUACAUUCGGUGAGAAUUUGUGUCUUUUCUAAGCAUUUAUGUGUCACAGCAGACUUUAGAUAUGUUUUGAGCUGUUUCCACACUUUAUGUCCAAAUCUCAGUUAACCUCACAUAGCAGAGGUGCUAAUAUUCUCAGCUAACUCAAGACAAAAGCGAAAAAGGUAUUGAAUUAUUCAUUUAAGCAGCAAAGCGUCAGCUCUGCUCAGCUCAGUACAUCCUUGAAACAUGAAGACUGCGCAGUUUACUACAAAGUGUUACAAGCUAUUAAAUACACACAUGUGCUUAUUCUAUUGAAUCAGCUUUUAUUUAACUAAAUUUAAUUAAGUUCCUGUUUAUGUUGUUGUUUGUUCAUAAAAACUGUAUGUAGGCUGUCAACUUGUUUGAUCAGCUUCAAAAGUUUGGUAAGCGCUGUUUUAACAGGAUUUAAGGAGCGAUGACACAAAAUAUCAUGUUUCACCAGAAUGUUAAUGAGGGCCUGUUGCUUGUGUUGUCGAAUAAAAUUCCCAGAAGCCUCUGCAAUAUUAAAGGUCUGAAAAACACAACUGGGCUUGUGGUGAGGAUGCAAAUCUCUAAAUAAAAACUCAAAUCCA